Molecule: non-coding RNA, 646 nt
Organism: Camellia sinensis
Lineage: Eukaryota; Viridiplantae; Streptophyta; Magnoliopsida; Ericales; Theaceae
Source: RefSeq, a predicted model, not a curated record
UUGUGAGUGAGAGUGGAAAUGGUGUUCUGGGCAGCUAAACAACAAUUUUUGGUUGGAUGAUUUUACUUUUGGUCUGUAGUAAUUGCUAUGUAAAGAUAUCUGUGAAUGCCAGAGAAGUUUCGGUGUUGAUGCCUGGAGAAGAUAUUCCUACAUUCAUUGCCCAUCCAGCACCAGUACCCUGCCCCCCAGAGCGCAUAUCAUGGCCUAGCCAUCAGCAUAAAUCAUUGCACGGUAUUACCCAAGACUUGAAUUCAAACACAAGUUCAAGCUCAAGCUCAAUCUGAAAUGUCUGCUCUGUACAUCAAAUAUUAGUCAUGGACACAACUCAAGCAAAAGCCUAGCAUUAUAUAUUUGAAGAUAUGUAGCAAGGACCGGGCAUCUUAAAGGUAACAAUUUUUUCGCCCACACUCCUGAAUCUGUGUAUAUAGCAUUCGGUCAUGGUGGGCAUUCAUUAUUUUCAAAGAAUCAACAUCGAAAUAUCAUGCAAUGAUUUGGUUUGCAUACACUCGUAUUUUCAUAUUUUACCUGGUUUUGGGAUUUUUAAAGUUUGAUUUCGAACCUUGGAGAUGGAAUCUGAUUUCUGUCGAAUCGGUCUCCUUGUAUAGCUGUUGAGGAAUAUAAUUGAUGUUGGGUAUACGAGUAAAAA